CUGUGGAGUACGAGCGCAAGCUUAAAACAUAAAGGAAUUGACGGGGGACCGCACAAGUGGUGGAUCGUGCUCUUUAAUUCGAUGAUAAACGAAGAACCUUACCAGGGCUUGACAUCCCUUGAAUCUUGGCGAAAGUCAGGAGUGCUUUAUUGAGCAAGGUGACAGGUGUUGCAUGGCCGUCGUCAGCUCGUGUCGUGAGAUGUUUGGUUAAGUCCAUCAACGAGCGCAACCCUUGUGAAUAGUUGUAUUUUUCUAUUCAGACCGCCCCGGUAACGGGGAGGAAGGAGGGGAUGAUGUCAGGUCAGUAUUACCCUUACGUCCUGGGCUAGAAGCGCGAUACAAUGGCCAGUACAAUGCGCAGCGAAGCCGCGAGGUGGAGCAAAUCGCAUCAAAACUGGUCCCAGUUCGGAUAGGAGGCUGAAACUCGCCUCCUUGAAGUCGGAAUCACUAGUAAUCGCAGGUCAGCAUACUGCGGUGAAUACGUUCCCGGUCCUUGUACACACCGCCCGUCAAACCAUGAAAGUCACCAACACCCGAAGUCCGAUUCGUCGGCCUAAGGUGGGGGAGAUAAUUGGGG
Molecule: ribosomal RNA, 577 nt
Filed under: uncultured bacterium
Lineage: Bacteria
Description: bacterial SSU rRNA
Rfam family: Bacterial small subunit ribosomal RNA
Source: RNAcentral